AUUGAACGCUGGCGGCAUGCCUUACACAUGCAAGUCGAACGGUAACAGGUCUUCGGAUGCUGACGAGUGGCGAACGGGUGAGUAAUACAUCGGAACGUGCCCGAGAGUGGGGGAUAACGAAGCGAAAGCUUUGCUAAUACCGCAUACGAUCUCAGGAUGAAAGCAGGGGACCGCAAGGCCUUGCGCUCACGGAGUGGCCGAUGGCAGAUUAGGUAGUUGGUGGGAUAAAAGCUUACCAAGCCGACGAUCUGUAGCUGGUCUGAGAGGACGACCAGCCACACUGGGACUGAGACACGGCCCAGACUCCUACGGGAGGCAGCAGUGGGGAAUUUGGACAAUGGGCGCAAGCCUGAUCCAGCCAUGCCGCGUGCAGGAUGAAGGCCUCGGUUGUAAAC
RNAcentral lists this ribosomal RNA (395 nucleotides) under uncultured bacterium. RNAcentral describes it as "bacterial SSU rRNA". It matches the Rfam family "Bacterial small subunit ribosomal RNA", at positions 30 to 430 of the family's 1533-position model. The record is from RNAcentral.